Molecule: non-coding RNA, 70 nt
Organism: Podarcis lilfordi (Lilford's wall lizard)
Lineage: Eukaryota; Metazoa; Chordata; Lepidosauria; Squamata; Lacertidae
Source: the annotation of a GenBank genome assembly
GGCCAUAGCUCACUGGUAGAGCAGCUGCCUUGCAUGCAGAAGGUUGCUGGUUCCAUCUCUGGCAGAUCCA